GCCUCGGGAAACCGGGAUUAAAACCUCAUAAUGCGGCACUGAGACAUCUCAGAGCCGCCAAAGAUUUAUCGGCAAGGGAUGGGCCUGCGUCUGAUUAGUUAGUUGGUGGGGUAACGGCCUACCAAGGCGACGAUCAGUAGCCGACCUGAGAGGGUGAUCGGCCACAUUGGAACUGAGACACGGUCCAAACUCCUACGGGAGGCAGCAGUGGAGAAUCUUGCACAGUGGGCGAAAGCCUGAUGCAGCAACGCCGCG
Molecule: ribosomal RNA, 255 nt
Filed under: uncultured bacterium
Lineage: Bacteria
Description: partial 16S ribosomal RNA
Rfam family: Bacterial small subunit ribosomal RNA
Source: RNAcentral